Molecule: long non-coding RNA, 654 nt
Organism: Brassica napus (rape)
Lineage: Eukaryota; Viridiplantae; Streptophyta; Magnoliopsida; Brassicales; Brassicaceae
Exons: 2
Source: RefSeq, a predicted model, not a curated record
CUGCCUCAUCAAUCAUAUCACGCCACGUGGCAGUUAUUAAACCCGUUGUCCACUCGAGCGUGUAUGACUCUCUCCGUACUAACCUUCCUGGAGAGUUUAUGGGAUACAGAGACUUCCCGUUUGUGAUCCGACCGGGAGAAUCCAGAGACCCGAGGAGAUGAUCCGGUUCGAGACAGAGAUUGUGCGGGUUGCUCCGGCGGCGGAAACCCACUGUGAAGGAGGAGCCUUUUAAAUGAAAGAGAACAAAGUAUGUCAUGAUGAAAUUUACGAUGAUGUUGUUGUCGGUAACGGACAUUACACAAAGCCAUGUCGCGCUGAAGUUCCUGUAAUGCCGAGGCUGAACUACGUGAUUAUGGUGACCGCGCAGAUGGAUAGUGCCAGAUGAGCCAAAGGACCACAUGUGGGUAGUCACAUGGGGACCGUGAGAGUGGAUAGUGCCGGUAGAUCCUAUAUUAUCGACCCUUUCUUUUGCAGAUACUUACGAGGAACACCGUAGGAUAGGAGUCAUGGAUGGUGCUACACAUUUGGUUUUUAUUUUCAAAAACUUUUAGUUAAGUUAUGUAAGACUAUGGUUUUAUUCUAUUCAGUUUUCAUUUGAAUUCAAGGAUGUUUGUAAAACUUUUCAUUUGAAGUAAAGGAAAUAUUGAACUGAAA